CAGUAGCCGCGGUAAUACGUAGGGUGCGAGCGUUAAUCGGAAUUACUGGGCGUAAAGCGUGCGCAGGCGGUUCGUUAAGACAGAUGUGAAAUCCCCGGGCUUAACCUGGGAACUGCAUUUGUGACUGGCGAGCUAGAGUAUGGCAGAGGGGGGUAGAAUUCCACGUGUAGCAGUGAAAUGCGUAGAGAUGUGGAGGAACAUCAGUGGCGAAGGCGGCCAUCUGGGACAACACUGACGCUGAGGCACGAGAGCGUGGGGAGCAAACAGGAUUAGAGACCCGUGUAGUCCCUGUCUCUUAUAC
This 301-nucleotide ribosomal RNA is filed under the name uncultured bacterium. RNAcentral describes it as "partial 16S ribosomal RNA". It matches the Rfam family "Bacterial small subunit ribosomal RNA", at positions 509 to 807 of the family's 1533-position model. The record is from RNAcentral.